Pongo abelii (Sumatran orangutan) is the source of this 148-nucleotide unclassified non-coding RNA. It matches the Rfam family "Metazoan signal recognition particle RNA". Rfam says of the family: The signal recognition particle (SRP) is a universally conserved ribonucleoprotein. NCBI's taxonomy places the organism in Eukaryota, Metazoa, Chordata, Mammalia, Primates, Hominidae. The record is from Ensembl.
GCUGGGUAUGGUGGCGCACGCCUGUAAUCCCAGCUACUAGGGAGGCUGAGACAGGAGAAUCGCUUGAACCCAGGAGGCGGAGGUUGCAGUGAGCCGAGAUCACUUCACUGCACUUCAGCCUGGGUGACAGAGCGAGAUUCUGUCUCAA